Molecule: long non-coding RNA, 1155 nt
Organism: Camelus dromedarius (Arabian camel)
Lineage: Eukaryota; Metazoa; Chordata; Mammalia; Artiodactyla; Camelidae
Exons: 3
Source: RefSeq, a predicted model, not a curated record
GCAAAUACUAAUCAAUAUUCUGGUCAUUAAACUGGGGAGAAAAAAGAGUCCCAUUUCUUCAUAGUCAAGCCACCUGUACUUGGAAGAACCACAGUCCUCAGCAUCCUGCCAGCAGCCUCUCCGUCCUGCUCCACAGACAAAGAGUGCUGUGUAAAUUAGCCCUCACCUUGGAAGUUCAGCUCCGGCUGAAUCUGCCCCUAAAACCUCUCCCCAGGCAUCACUGAAAAGCAAAUCUGUGCCACAUAAACAAGGUCUCCAUCCUCUCCUGUCUCAGUGCUGUCCUGACUGACUGAUGGAUUGAUUCACUCAUUCAUUCAACAGAUAUAUACAAACGCCUGUCAUGACGCCCAUCUUAAUGUCAGCUCAUCUUCGCAAACUGCAUGAGUUUACUCUGAAGAGUGACCACGCCAGCAAACCAGACUGGGACCUUUUCCCUGGCCCUGGAACCCUUGGGACUGAGGAAAAUUAAGUCAGGUGGAAGUCACAUGCUUACUUACAAGAAAGGCGUGCGCAUCAGAAGUGGGAACCAUAGCAUCUCUGGCUCCUCGGCAUCUCCGUGAAUUAUCCUUGGUCCCUGAUCCUUCCUCUAGGGCAGAGCAGGGCGAAAGCUGGUCAGCUUAAGAGGAGAAGGGCUUGCGCGAGAUGGAAUGCAUGUGAGAAACGGAAUACCUGGGCUGUCUGCAUUGGAGCAGGCUGAAGGACUGUCAUGGCCCCAGAGCUGGAAGAGGCCACUGGGGUCACCUGAUUCCAAAUCACACCUGAUACAGGGAUCCCUCUGCUCAAGAUUCCUCACCAACAGUCAGCCAACCUCUGCUUGGAAAUUUCAAAGAUAUUUCCGGAGGACACAGAGUUACCACACUCAGAUCCCUGUCAAGAAUGGAUUUAAUGGAAAGAGGGUGGGGAGGGAUAAACUGAGAGUUCAGGAUUUGUAGAAGUACUAUAUAUAAAAUAGGUAAACAAGGUCCUACUGUAUAGCACAGGGAACUAUAUUCAAUACCUUGUAAUGGCCCUAUAAUGAAAAAGAACAUGAAAAGGAAUAUAUGUAUAUAUAUACAUAUAUGUAUAAAUGAAUCACUAUGCUGUAUGCCAGAAAUUAACACAUUGUAAAUUGACUACACUUCAAUUAAAAAAAAAAAAGGAAGUGAACGGAUUUAG